RNAcentral lists this ribosomal RNA (440 nucleotides) under uncultured bacterium. Its description in RNAcentral is "partial 16S ribosomal RNA". It matches the Rfam family "Bacterial small subunit ribosomal RNA", at positions 338 to 795 of the family's 1533-position model. The record is from RNAcentral.
CCUACGGGAGGCAGCAGUGGGGAAUAUUGCACAAUGGGGGAAACCCUGAUGCAGUGACGCCGCGUGAGUGAAGAAGUUAUUCGGUAUGUAAAGCUCUAUCAGCAGGGAAGAAAAUGACGGUACCUGAGUAAGAAGCCCUGGCUAACUACGUGCCAGCAGCCGCGGUAAUACGGAGGGGGCAAGCGUUAUCCGGUUUUACUGGGUGUAACGGGAGCGUAGACGGCAGGGCAAGUCUGGAGUGAAAGGCGCGGGCUCAACCCCCGGACUGCUCUGGAAACUGUACGGCUGGAGUGCAGGAGAGGUAAGUGGAAUUCCUGGUGUAGCGGUGAAAUGCGUAGAUAUUAGGAGGAACACCAGUGGCGAAGGCGGCUUGCUGGACUGUAACUGACGUUGAGGCGCGAAAGCGUGGGUAGCAAACAGGAUUAGAUACCCGUGUAGUC